This is a long non-coding RNA of Oreochromis niloticus (Nile tilapia), 1292 nucleotides long. RefSeq lists it as uncharacterized. The transcript is spliced from 3 exons. The record is from RefSeq and is a predicted model, not a curated record. Lineage: Eukaryota; Metazoa; Chordata; Actinopteri; Cichliformes; Cichlidae.
AAACUUACAGUGACGUGGACAUCAUGCAAAGACUGCCAGACUCUGUAAUACUGUAAAUGAUCAGUGACUCAGGUUAACACUAAACUUUAAACAGUCCCUCUGUGUCUCUGUGUGUGCUGAACAUCUAGGAUUGAGUCAGGCUGCAUUGACUGUGGGACUUUUCUGUGUUAAAAACUGGUUGAAGACGGCUCAGAAACAUUUGAAGAUUAAAAUUUAGCAUUAUGGCUGCUGGUGGAGGCGCUGAAAGGUUUCCCUAAUAGUUCCUGGUGAAUCAAAGCAGAACCAUAAAGGUUGCUGGACUGCAUCGUGGCCUUACCCCUGAGCAGUCAUCCUGUUAAAGGAGGAACCAGUUAGAAGCUGUUUUCAAAGUAGCUGAGCAGAUUUCAUCUCAACAGACAAAGCCGAUGGCAGAAGAUGUUUGGAGAAGAACUUCAGGCCGUGGACUGAAAAGGUAUUUUUUUCUUGUUAUCAAAAGACAUUUGGAGUGACGGCUUCUACAACUGUGCUGAUGUGAAGCUUACAGGCUAAGAAGUCACAGUGUUGAUAUUCAGCACAAAGAGAAAAGCUCACUUGUUUGAAUUUAUUUACAAUCAUAGUUUUUAUAAAUUCUGACUGUAAACAGCUUUUACAGCUUUGAUAUUGUUUGACACUCGAUAUCAGGUGAUGGUAUUUAAUUUAAAGGUUUCUUUGUCCCAAUGAGCCAUUUACACUGACCAGUGUUUCACUUUAACUGUAACACAUUCAUUAUUUAGAUCCAACAUUUCUAAGAGAAACAACUGAAUGUAAAAAAUGGCAGCCCUCAGGCCAGGUUUAAUUGAUAGAGAUAUAUGCAUGCAUUAUGAAAUUUAUGUAUCCCAGAUAAUUGUUAUUCAUCUAGUCCUGGCAGAUCCACCCCUUCCUCCCAAGUUAACUGCAACCCAAAAGAACUAGUGGGGCUAUUUACACACUCACAACCAGUGUGGGGUAGAAAGAGCCAUCAAAAACCUGUCAGCCUGCACAGCUACAGAUGUGCUAAAAGCUAUAAGAGUUAGAAGCUCUGCUUAUGGAGAAACUUUCUAAGCCUAACAGGGGACAGGUACUCCUGCCCAAAUAACAUGAUAUAACCCCACAUACAGCCCAGCCAUGAAGUGAACCAAGUCAUUUAGUUAAAGACAGCAUGGGACCAAAUGCAUGUAACCAGCCUGCACCAACCUGACAUUUCUUCCUCCUGAAUUAAAUGAAUGAAUGGAUGAAAGUUAAAUGACUACAAACCUAAAGCCACUAGUUCCCACACUGGAGUUCCCUGACACUGU